AAGACAGAGGGGGCAAGCGUUGUCCGGACUGACUGGGCGUAAAGCGCACGUAGGCGGCUUUGUAAGCUAGAGGUGAAAGCCCGGGGCUCAACUCCGGAAUUGCCUUUAAGACUGCAUCGCUAGAAUUGUGGAGAGGUAAGUGGAAUUCCGAGUGUAGAGGUGAAAUUCGUAGAUAUUCGGAAGAACACCAGUGGCGAAGGCGACUUACUGGACACAUAUUGACGCUGAGGUGCGAAAGCGUGGGGAGCAAACA
RNAcentral lists this ribosomal RNA (253 nucleotides) under uncultured prokaryote. RNAcentral's name for it is "partial 16S ribosomal RNA". It matches the Rfam family "Bacterial small subunit ribosomal RNA", at positions 522 to 774 of the family's 1533-position model. The record is from RNAcentral.